Molecule: ribosomal RNA, 443 nt
Filed under: uncultured bacterium
Lineage: Bacteria
Description: bacterial SSU rRNA
Rfam family: Bacterial small subunit ribosomal RNA
Source: RNAcentral
CCUACGGGGGGCAGCAAUUAGGAAUCUUGCGCAAUGGGCGAAAGCCUGACGCAGCGACGCCGCGUGACUGAUGAAGUCUUUCGGGAUGUAAAGGUCUUUUGCAGGGGACGAAGGAAGUGACGGUACCCUGCGAAUAAGCUCCGGCUAACUACGUGCCAGCAGCCGCGGUAAUACGUAGGGAGCGAGCGUUGUCCGAAUUUACUGGGCGUAAAGCGCGCGUAGGCGGGUUNUUAAGUUGUGGGUGAAAUGCCGAGGCUCAACCUCGGAACUGCCUGCAAAACUGGGAGCCUUGAGGUAUGGAGAGGGAAGUGGAAUUCCAGGUGUAGCGGUGAAAUGCGUAGAUAUCUGGAGGAACACCGAUUGCGAAGGCAGCUUACUGGGCCAUUACUGACGCUGAUGCACGAAAGCGUGGGGAGCGAACAGGAUUAGAUACCCUAGUANUC